ACGGAUGGGCAUGCGGCGCAUUAGCUAGUUGGCGGGGUAACGGCCCACCAAGGCGACGAUGCGUAGGGGUUCUGAGAGGAAGGUCCCCCACACUGGUACUGAGACACGGACCAGACUCCUACGGGAGGCAGCAGUGAGGAAUAUUGGUCAAUGGGCGAGAGCCUGAACCAGCCAAGUCGCGUGAGGGAGUACUGCCCUAUGGGUUGUAAACCUCUUUUGUCGGGGAGCAAAAGCCGGUACGUGUACCGUCUGUGAGAGUACCCGAAGAAAAAGCAUCGGCUAACUCCGUGCCAGCAGCCGCGGUAAUACGGAGGAUGCGAGCGUUAUCCGGAUUUAUUGGGUUUAAAGGGUGCGCAGGCGGAUUUUUAAGUCAGCGGUCAAAUCGUGGGGCUCAACCCCAUCCAGCCGUUGAAACUGGGGAUCUAGAGUGUGCGAGAGGUAUGCGGAAUGCGUGGUGUAGCGGUGAAAUGCAUAGAUAUCACGCAGAACCCCGAUUGCGAAGGCAGCAUACCGGUGCACAACUGACGCUCAGGCACGAAAGCGUGGGUAUCGAACAGGAUUAGAUACCCUGGUAGUCCACGCAGUAAACGAUGA
Molecule: ribosomal RNA, 594 nt
Filed under: uncultured bacterium
Lineage: Bacteria
Description: bacterial SSU rRNA
Rfam family: Bacterial small subunit ribosomal RNA
Source: RNAcentral